RNAcentral lists this unclassified non-coding RNA (389 nucleotides) under uncultured Ascomycota. Its description in RNAcentral is "sequence contains ITS2". The stretch from base 1 to 152 matches the Rfam family "5.8S ribosomal RNA". The record is from RNAcentral. Lineage: Eukaryota; Fungi; Ascomycota.
AACUUUCGACAAUGGAUCACUUGGUUCCCGCAACGAUGAAGGACGCAGUGAAAUGCGAAACGUAAUGCGAUUUGCAAUCUCUGUGAGUCAUCGAGUAUUUGAACGCACUUGGCACCGAGGGGUCUCCCCUCGGUACACCUAUCUGAGCCGCGGAUAAGCGAGUUAUUUGAGUGUUCAUCGGUGACGAUGUCACUUUAAUGUGAGUCUGGCAGUGGAGCAGCGGAGAUUUGCUGCGUGUGAUGACGAGACUCUGGUCCCGGCCUCGCGCGGUAGAUCCCGCCUGCACCGAUCAACUGGCAAUGUCCGGUGCUCAUACCACCAUGAUAUAACACGCGCUCAGAUUAGGUGGGAGGACCCGCUGAACUUAAGCAUAUCAAUAAGCGGAGGCU